Molecule: ribosomal RNA, 253 nt
Filed under: uncultured bacterium
Lineage: Bacteria
Description: partial 16S ribosomal RNA
Rfam family: Bacterial small subunit ribosomal RNA
Source: RNAcentral
AACGUAGGGGACGAGCGUUAUCCGGAUUUACUGGGCGUAAAGCGCCCGUAGGCGGCUCGAUAAGUUGGACGUGAAAGCUCCCGGCUUAACUGGGAGAGGCCGUUCAAAACUGUAGGGCUAGAGUGAGGCAGAGGAGAGCGGAAUUCCCGGUGUAGUGGUGGAAUGCGUAGAUAUCGGGAGGAACACCAGUGGCGAAAGCGGCGCUCUGGGCCUAAACUGACGCUGAGGGGCGAAAGCGUGGGGAGCGAACGGG